UCCCGCGGCGUAUUAGUUAGUUGGUGAGGUAAAGGCCCACCAAGACGAUGAUACGUAGCCGACCUGAGAGGGUAAUCGGCCACAUUGGGACUGAGACACGGCCCAAACUCCUACGGGAGGCAGCAGUAGGGAAUCUUCCACAAUGGACGAAAGUCUGAUGGAGCAAUGCCGCGUGAGUGAAGAAGGGUUUCGGCUCGUAAAACUCUGUUGUUAAAGAAGAACACCUUUGAGAGUAACUGUUCUAGGGUUGACGGUAUUUAACCAGAAAGCCACGGCUAACUACGUGCCAGCAGCCGCGGUAAUACGUAGGUGGCAAGCGUUGUCCGGAUUUAUUGGGCGUAAAGCGAGCGCAGGCGGUUUUUUAAGUCUGAUGUGAAAGCCUUCGGCUUAACCGGAGAAGUGCAUCGGAAACUGGGAGACUUGAGUGCAGAAGAGGACAGUGGAACUCCAUGUGUAGCGGUGGAAUGCGUAGAUAUAUGGAAGAACACCAGUGGCGAAGGCGGCGUGUCUAGUCUGUAACUGACGCUGAGGCUCGAAAGCAUGGGUAGCGAACAGGAUUAGAUACCCUGGUAGUCCAUGCCGUAAACGAUGAGUGCUAAGUGUUGGAGGGUUUCCGCCCUUCAGUUCUGCAGCUAACGCAUUAAGCACUCCGCCUGGGGAGUACGACCGCAAGUUUGAAACUCAAAGGAAUUGACGGGGGCCCGCACAAGCGGUGGAGCAUGUGGUUUAAUUCGAAGCUACGCGAAGAACCUUACCAGGUCUUGACAUCUUCUGCCAAUCUUAGAGAUAAGACGUUCCCUUCGGGGACAGAAUGACAGGUGGUGCAUGGUUGUCGUCAGCUCGUGUCGUGAGAUGUUGGGUUAAGUCCCGCAACGAGCGCAACCCUUAUUAUCAGUUGCCAGCAUUCAGUUGGGCACUCUGGUGAGACUGCCGGUGACAAACCGGAGGAAGCGUUGGAUGACGUCAAAUCAUCAUGCCCCUUAUGACCUGGGCUACACACGUGCUACAAUGGACGGUACAACGAGUCGCGAAGUCGUGAGGCUAAGCUAAUCUCUUAAAGCCGUUCUCAGUUCGGAUUGUAGGCUGCAACUCGCCUACAUGAAGUUGGAAUCGCUAGUAAUCGCGGAUCAGCAUGCCGCGGUGAAUACGUUCCCGGGCCUUGUACACACCGCCCGUCACACCAUGAGAGU
RNAcentral lists this ribosomal RNA (1190 nucleotides) under Levilactobacillus brevis. RNAcentral's name for it is "bacterial SSU rRNA". It matches the Rfam family "Bacterial small subunit ribosomal RNA", at positions 229 to 1411 of the family's 1533-position model. Lineage: Bacteria; Bacillati; Bacillota; Bacilli; Lactobacillales; Lactobacillaceae. The record is from RNAcentral.